Molecule: ribosomal RNA, 468 nt
Filed under: uncultured bacterium
Lineage: Bacteria
Description: partial 16S ribosomal RNA
Rfam family: Bacterial small subunit ribosomal RNA
Source: RNAcentral
GACGAACGCUGGCGGCGUGCUUAACACAUGCAAGUCGAACGGAAAGGCCCUGCUUUUGUGGGGUGCUCGAGUGGCGAGCGGGUGAGUAACACGUGAGUAACCUGCCCUUGACUUUGGGAUAACUUCAGGAAACUGGGGCUAAUACCGGAUAGGAGCCCCUGCUGCAUGGUGGGGGUUGGAAAGUUUCGGCGGUUGGGGAUGGACUCGCGGCUUAUCAGCUUGUUGGUGGGGUAGUGGCUUACCAAGGCUUUGACGGGUAGCCGGCCUGAGAGGGUGACCGGCCACAUUGGGACUGAGAUACGGCCCAGACUCCUACGGGAGGCAGCAGUGGGGAAUAUUGCACAAUGGGCGGAAGCCUGAUGCAGCAACGCCGCGUGCGGGAUGACGGCCUUCGGGUUGUAAACCGCUUUCGCCUGUGACGAAGCGUGAGUGACGGUAAUGGGUAAAGAAGCACCGGCUAACUACGUG